GUGGGCUUUCUCCUCCGGAAACUUCUCUGCUGGCCCAUAAUGCAGCCGUCACCCUGUAGCAGCAGAGUCGAGCGAGGAGCCGGGGUGAGGUACUGGCUCCUACCGGGCUGGUCCUGCAGCCCUGGAGCUGGCUCUGACCUCAGACGGCGCUGGAGACGGAGGCUCGGAAGGGGCAGCUGUGGCCUCCCAACCCCCGAGCAUUCAUUGUGCACCUACUGUGUAUACGCCCUGGCCGGGCCCAAGGGCCACAGGGCUGCUGGAGAGGUGACCUCUGUCGGUCUGGCCGUCAGCGAGGACCCACCUGCCCGUGCCUGUCCACCCGGAGCCCUCCCACCACCGUGAGCCUCUGCGAGGGACCCGCCGCUGUGCCGUCAUCUUCCCUUGGCAGCCCCGCCCGCAGGCCCAGACUCCCCCAGCCAGGCCUGCUCAGCCCCGCGCAGGGCUGUGGGGCCAGCGGCCAGGGCUGGGGGUGCUGGGGGGUCCGUGGAGACUCCCGAGGAGAGGGGCCCACCUGCAGGUCAGUGAGGUCCCAGGAGCUGUAGUCCUCCUCGGAGCACUGCCGGGAGAAGGAGGGCCGGAAGUCCACCUUGACCAGCUCCCAGUCGGAGCGGAAGCUGAUGUGGCCGAAGACCCUGGGGACAGGACACCCCUCAGUCUGGCCCCUGCUGGGCACGCACUUCCCUCCCAACUCCGUCCACUGCACCAGGGCCCAACGAGGCCGCCCGACCUGCUGGGCCAAGUGCCCAAUCGCUGUCUGGUGCGUCGGGCGCCCUGGUGAGGGCCGUCCCACCCACACGGCCGCCCUCGCCGCCCCAGCCCUGGCCUCCUGGCCGCCCCCCGCCGUCCACAGCCCUGGCUUCGGGCCUCGCGCUACGCCUUGCAGAGACCCCUGGGCAGGCGGCCACGCCUGCGCCAACCAGCUGCCCCCAGUCCUCUCCCGCCUCCCUCGGCCUGAGCAAGAGAGAAACCGGCUCUCCACAGUCAGGUCCCAGGCCACUCCUAGCAAGGAGCCGAGAGCCUCCCCACGUCGGCGCAGGGCAGGCCAGGAGGGGGCCUUCUGCCCCGCCCACGCCCCGGAGCCCAGGAAGGAACAAGGGAACGGAACCCACAGCUACCAGAGCUACGCCCUCUCAGCCAGGUGAAGAGACCACCUGUUUACAGAAAGGAAUAGGAGGGCACAGAGAAGGACUGCGGGAUCUGCAGUGGUCUGAGCCGAGUGCCCAGCGCACAGUAGGAGCUUCCUGCACACACACCACCUCCACGCUCCGGAGCCCUGUGCUGGCGAGGGCUCAGGGGCAGUCACGCCUCUGCAUGCUGGCCUGGCCUCCUCUGCCCUUGCAGUCCCAGGUCCCCUGGCUCUCAGCCUGGCCACUCCGGGGUCACAGACUGCACAUUCCCACAGCCUAGCGCUCAAGUGCUGCCCCAGCUCCUGGGGGUCUUUACAGCUGGCCUUCCACGCUGUCCCCGGUCCCUUCCACAGCUGGCCUUCCACACUGUCCCCAGUCCCUUCCACAGCUGGCCUUCCACGCUGUCCCCGGUCCCUUCCACAGGGGCCUUCCACGCAGUCCCCGGUCCCUUCCACAGGGGCCUUCCACGCUGUCCCCGGUCCCUUCCACAGGGGCCUUCCACGCUGUCCCUGGUCCCUUCCACAGGGGCCUUCCACGCUGUCCCCGGUCCCUUCCACAGCUGGCCUUCCACGCUGUCCCCGGUCCCUUCCACAGGGGCCUUCCACACUGUCCCCGGUCCCUUCCACAGGGGCCUUCC
Long non-coding RNA from Sciurus carolinensis (gray squirrel), 1764 nucleotides. RefSeq lists it as uncharacterized. Lineage: Eukaryota; Metazoa; Chordata; Mammalia; Rodentia; Sciuridae. The record is from RefSeq and is a predicted model, not a curated record. The transcript is spliced from 3 exons.